Molecule: non-coding RNA, 74 nt
Organism: Potamilus streckersoni
Lineage: Eukaryota; Metazoa; Mollusca; Bivalvia; Unionida; Unionidae
Source: the annotation of a GenBank genome assembly
GACUGUGGUGGCAUAGUGGUUAGAGCGUCCGUCUCGGAUGCUGGAAGUCGCAGGUUUGAAUCCCUGCAGAGUCA